CUAGCCGCGGCGUGCUGCGGGCAGGCCCGCCAUACAGCCAAACUUGUCGUCUCAGGAUAUCCCGCCCCCGGCCCGGUCCCGACGCCCUCCACUCAAAAGCGCGCCGCGGCGCCUGGCGAGGGGCCGCGGGAGGCCGGCGCGGGGCCGGGCGCCCGGGAGGGGAGCGCGGCGAGCGCGGGGAGGCGCGGGCCCCCUGCGAGCGCGAGCGCCGGACGGACGGACGGCUGCCCCCGCGGGGUUGACUAUUUGCCUAAUUCAAUUAAAUUUACUCAAGCCAGUGUACACAUCAUUUCUUAAAAAAAAAAAAAACAACUUGAUGAAUUAAAGUCAAAUAAAGCAAGCAAUCUGCUCACUCAGAGCAGAGUGAAGCCAUAGGUCAUGAAGAGGGAACGCUGCGUGAGGAACGCUGAGGCAGCCCAGUGCUAGGAGACCGGCUCAGUGGGACUCAGCGAGGCUCCACCGCACUCGGAGGAAGUCAAAGAUGAAAUGCGAUUUGAAUACGCUGCACACUGUGUCUGUGUGCCUGGAUGAACAAGUGUCUCGUGUCUGGGGAAGUGUAAGUCUCAUCGGGCUCUUUGCUGGCAAGGUAGAAGACAUUGUCAAUAAAUUAAAAAAUAGUUUUACAGGGUGAGAAAAUAAUUUGUUUUUGUUGUACUGGAGGAGGACACGAAAUGUUACCUCAUGUUUCUGUGAUGUCAUUUCCACAGGGAAGUGGCGUGUUGUCUGGUUUGAUGGGUUGCUGCUCAGGUGACUCGAUACCAGCAGAAGCUCUGGCCUUCAGACAUCUUACGGAUCCCAGUGUAGCUUUGGAAAAACCAUGCCUCACCUGAGCAUUUUAAAGUUGAUAUCUGCAAAACAAAUCCCAUUAGAAGUUGAAAAAAAAAAACCUAAACAGGAUGUAAUUCUUUAGCAUAUGUCAACGUUGGCACUUUGAAAUUGAAAGUUUUACAGUGUACAUGAAAGCAUAGCAGACGAUUUAAAACCGCAUAAAAACAGUCCCUGGCACACAGUGGCUGAGCUACAAAUUUUCCACCUUCCCAUGGUGUGAGGGUAGCGCUAACUCAGUGGAAACCGCUUGGAAGUUUGGACCUUUCUCGGGGCGCGGUCCUCAGCAGAGCCGCAGCUGCGCUGCACUGGACUGCGCAGCGGCAGAACGCCCUCAGCUUGCGAUGCUUUCCAGUCAUAAUAGGUUCAUUUCGGCCAAAAGUUACCGGAGUCAGGGGCUGUGGACCGCACACCACCACCUAAAACACAGCGCGGUUUCUUCGUUUACCAUGGACAAAUUUCUCAACCUCCUCCAUCCACAAGCUCCAUACCCAGCAAGCGGCGAUGACAAUUACUGCGCAUCUCUCUUUCCACGACAAGGAGAGUCUAUAAGGCUUGUGGGCCUAUUUUGAGCGCAGCCUGGUAAUCUAUACUUUCAAGAUUGGAAAUGACCCUGAACUUGAAACUUCAGAAGCCAACAGUGAAUAGUUCACAACUGCUGCAUGAGCAAGAUCCAGGCUCAGUCCCAGGCCCAGCAAAGACCUUGCACAGUUACACCACGGACUGGCAGGAGCGGUAUGAGCGAUGGAAGUGAUGUCUGUGUUUGGGCUGAUUCACUAGGUAGCCCAAAACACGCAGGUAUGACCUGCAAAAUCCGGAAUAGUCAAGGACAUUUUGGGUGCCAAUCAGUUUGAACAGGAACCCCAGCUCUGGGCAGUUAUUUUAAUGCUGUCACUACUAACCUCUGUUAAACCGCUCAUUGGAGGCUCCUCGCGUCUCACACCCAAGCUGAGUGUCAGCUCUUUGUACACUCAGCCUUGGCUUUCACAGUGACGGGCACUGGAGUUGGAAGGGUAGUUCAGUAGCUCUACCAGGAAUGGUAGGCCAAAUCACAGUAUGAAAUUCAAAGUUACUGGAGGCAGGGGUGGAGCACCACAGGUUCAAGGCCAGCCUGGAACACAUAUUAAGAUGACUUUGUCUUGCGUAAAACCUGAACAAACUAUCGCCAGUGUGCGGAGUAAGCAGGUCCAAUCGCGUAAGAGCAUCCAUCUUGUAAAAGCUUCCAUCUGGCUCCUUCUCAUGCAGGGCCAGAGUGGAAUGGUUUAUAAUGACAGAAACAGGCACUCUGAAGGUUCAGCCCCUGAGGGUUCUAGAAAAGCCCAGUCAUGAAGAGGGAUGCCACUGAGAGGUGUCCUGGCUUUUAACUUCCUACCAUAAAUUAGUGGGCAACUUUCAUGAACUAAAAGCGCAGCCAGUGAAAUUUUGUCAAUCUGGAGAGCUAUAAGGCAGCUGUAGAAAAUAAAUUAGGUACACCUAAUUUCCCUAUAAAAAUAUAAUCCUGAACUAUGAUGCCUCCCUUGCUUUGGGGAUUAGAAAAAAAGCCUCUUCAGUGAAUGCUUCUCAGACAAGCAUUUUGCUUUGCAAGGGGCGUUCUGUCUUCUCAACAGAAAAAUGAGCCUCACCAAAGACUUCAUAGAAGUAAGCAGAGGAGACAGCUCUGCACAUGGUCUGUAGUGUUCUCAGCCAGUGGCUUCGCUGAGCCCCACGCCCACCCUGUGCUAUGCCCCGAAGGGCUGCUGCUCUUACUUAUCACUGUCCUGAUCCUCACUGUCAAAACAUGGUGGAUUUUCCUGGAAACACCGUGUAAUUGCAAAGCCUCUGUGCUCAAGCGUUACCUCACCCAUUUCAUCACUCUGCUUUCCUAACUGGAGAAAAGAAACCCAAGAUAUAAGACAUCAGUGGGAAAUUGGCACCAUGGAUAUUGGAGAACCAAUGACACUAUAUUAAACUUCAAAAUGAAAGAGGGGUCCUGAGGGCAAAAUUUACUUGCUUCUACUUUCAAAGGUCAACAGGUAACAGUCUGCAGACUGUGGUGAUUUUUCAAGGCGUCUGUAAAUACGUCGAGUGUUUAGGCGUGAAUGCUGUAACCUAAUCAUUUUGCUGACUAUAAAUUCCCAGCCGUCAGAGCCUUUCAUUUUCUUCUCAGCCUCUGCUCAGACACAAGGCUGGAGCAGGGCCACGUUAAACUAGACUAGCAAAUGUUGCUGCCACUUUCUUGUUUUUAGACCAAGUAUUUUAGGCCAAAAUUUUAGUGCCUGCAGAAGAAAAUUACUAGAAGAAAAUGAAGUUUGUAGUAUAAAUAUAUUUUUUAUUUAUUAGAAUAUCUAGCCUUGCUAGAUCCAGUACUUUCAGUGUUUUGUGGGUAGCAGGAUCAAUUGCUGAAAAAAAAGAAGGCUAGGAAUUAUGUUAAAAAAUUAAGCAAUCUCUGUUGGUGUCAAAUGAAAUAGUCAAAAUUCUCUGGUAUCUGCAGUUUGGAAACUUCUAAAAUCAAUGUCUUUCUCACAUAGUCAUAAAAAUAUUUUUCCUAAAUAUUAAGGGAAAAAACUUAAUUAAAAAUGUUUACAGUGUCUGAUAGGCAAAGGGGGUUUUUUAAACAGUGAAGAGGUUGCAAAUACAGAAGAAAGAGGGAGGUGGGUGGGUAAAAUACAGACGUCUGAGAAAGCCACAAAAAGCCAUACUACUAACGACUUUCUUCAAAAGCCCAUCAUAUAUUCAGUUUCAUGUAAAAAUACACAUAUGUAGUUUUAAUGAACUUUUCUCUUAUAGGCUUGACAAUGCUCCCUCCAGGAGCCCAAAAUACCUAACAAAAUCCCUGAUGCCAGCCGUUAGAAGCCCUGCUUUGAGUUGUUGGCCAAGGCUGGCCAAGAGACACCCAAACAUACAUCUCUCAAUGGUCCUUAGUUACCUCUCAGAGGUGGAAGGUACGUUCCCAUCGCUGAAGGCACCAUGCAUUCUAGACACAGGGCCCAGAGACCCAUAAGUUGGAACUGACCUGAAAGCCCCUCCCUCAGGACUACUUUUCCUGGUACCUGAAGGCACCUUACACACUUCCAAAGGAAGGAGGCAAUCAGCCAUCCUGCCCAGCUAUGAUACUCAUGAGCCCCACCAACCAUCCGCAUAGCACAAUAACCGUGAGGGUGCAGUAAUGGCACAGAGACUUUGGCUGUAACCAAUAGCUCUCCACUCGGACUCAAGACACACUCAACAAGAAGGAAACUAUGCCUGGUACUGCAAACCUAGCCAACUACUCAAAGCUAGGGAAGUCAUGGCUACUGGCAGAGAACCUACAACUGCUGAUUCACCGAACUGUCAUAAUCCCUUACAACAGUCAAUAAACAUUGUCCUUACACCCAUAGACACGUUUAGUUUCCACCCCUCAUCAAGGAGAUCCAACUGAUGGAGACCACUACAGAAACCCUCAACCAGCCCAACAGUGAAGUUCUGAAGCCAGUGGACAUAUCUACAAAACACUCCUGCACCUAAGGCUAGGAGAACGUUGAGGAAGGGGGCAGAGGAGCUGUAAGAACCAGAGAACGGGGACUUUUCUGUGAGACUGUGCCUCCUGCCUGGGUUGGAAGUGACAUCUACAAAACCUCACCAACAUGACUGCCCAAAUGUAAGCCAGGCAAGGACAACACCAGUGAACAUGCCAAGCUGGACAGAGAGGCGCCACGAGGCCUCAGCCCUACACAAAGAACUACAGCAACUGAGGCAAGCCAGGACGGGGCACACUGGUCUCCCCCAGCAGGAGCCUGUCACUCGGCUGUCCAGUGCCAGUCAGCCUGGAGAACGCACAUUGAAUACAGAGAUAAUGCCACAAACUGUGGGCUGGAGAUGCGGCUCCGGGGUUAAGGUUUCAUGCUGCAUCUGCAGAGGACUGGAGUUUGGCUCCCGGCACCCAUGUCGGGUGACACCAAAAAAUACAGCACCCUCUUCUGGCCUCUGCAGCUCUCCCACUCGGAUUUGCCUCCACCAUGUUGGAGGGAGCGCCUCCGCCUGACACAGGCAGCGCAGGAGUCGUGCUGUGGAACGUCCUAUGCCAUUUG
This is a long non-coding RNA of Meriones unguiculatus (Mongolian gerbil), 4871 nucleotides long. RefSeq lists it as uncharacterized. NCBI's taxonomy places the organism in Eukaryota, Metazoa, Chordata, Mammalia, Rodentia, Muridae. The transcript is spliced from 5 exons. The record is from RefSeq and is a predicted model, not a curated record.